AUACGUAGGGGGCGAGCGUUGUCCGGAAUGAUUGGGCGUAAAGGGCGCGUAGGCGGCCCGGUAAGUCUGGAGUGAAAGUCCUGUUUUUAAGAUGGGAAUUGCUUUGGAUACUGUCGGGCUUGAGUGCAGGAGAGGUAAGUGAAAUUCCCAGUGUAGCGGUGAAAUGCGUAGAGAUUGGGAGGAACACCAGUGGCGAAGGCGACUUACUGGACUGUAACUGACGCUGAGGCGCGAAAGUGUGGGGAGCAAACAGGAUUAGAUACCCUGGUAGUCCACACUGUAAACGAUGAAUGCUAGGUGUAGGGGGUAUCGACCCCUUCUGUGCCGCAGUCAACACAAUAAGCAUUCCGCCUGGGGAGUACGGCCGCAAGGUUGAAACUCAAAGGAAUUGACGGGG
This 397-nucleotide ribosomal RNA is filed under the name uncultured bacterium. RNAcentral's name for it is "partial 16S ribosomal RNA". It matches the Rfam family "Bacterial small subunit ribosomal RNA", at positions 523 to 918 of the family's 1533-position model. The record is from RNAcentral.